AGGUGUGGUGUGUGACCAGGUGUGGUGUGCUGUGGGGUGAGUUCUGCGGUGGUGUCAUGUCCCGUUGUGUGUGGGGUUGGCGUUGAACUGCCUACUGUGUGCACGUGUGUGUGUGUGUGUGUACACAAGGUUACAUGAUGUUGGAGCCUAUCUGUUGGCUGACGAGGAGUGCAGUCUGAUCCAGCAGGUUCACGCCAUCAGUAAUGUAGAGGAGUCUAUCUACAUGGAGUCUUCUGUCCAGCCCUAUGGGCCCCAGGCCAGGCACAUGGCUCAGGCAGACCUGAAGAGCUCUACGUUUUGGCUAAGGGCAAGCGUGGGGGCAACCGUGUUUGCAGUCCUGGGCUUCGCUAUGUACAGAGCUAUCCUCAAACAACGAUGAUCAAGACGGACACAGGAUACAUGAGAUGACCAUUGACCCGCCCCCCACCGCCUAGUCUCUGCCCGUUGACCCCUUAUCCCCUCCCUGAAAGAAAACAUGAUCUCCAACAUCCCACAAUCCUCUGCUCCCCUUCCCCAAAAAAGAGACAACUACUGAAUGAAACGGAACUUCCAGCCCAUCUGAACCAGCCCUGAUCCCACAUCCACCCUACCGGAGAAGGAACAAACUGGAGAAACCAUAGAUUGAUUUUAUAUAUUUGAAACGGAGAAAAAAACUUGUCAUCAAAUGUUUUUUGUUUUUCUUUGGGGGAAAAAAUGUCACCACAAACUCACAUUGUAUUUUUUGAACACCAUCUAAUCAAUCUACCGCAGGCAUUCUGGUAUCGUGUGAUCUGGUCGAGUCUUGGGGUUUUUUCUUCUCCAGGUCAGACAGUAGCAGUUGCUGAUUGUUUUUAAAUCUGUGUAGAACCCGGUCUUUUUUCUCAGGUCAGUAUUAUAGCUAGCUGGUUUGACCCCCAGAGCCCAGGAGAAAGCAAAGAAGGCAGCCGCAUACAACUCACUACAAAAGGGACUGAAAAUAUUUGUUUAUAGGUAUGUGUGUGUAUAUAUAAAUAUAUAUAUUUGCUCGGGUACUUAGAGAAAUACCCAACUAGAUUACGGCGUGAACAAAGCUUGCCAGGAUCAAAGCAUUCAGUUCUGUAACACCUCAACAGUGAGCCUACAGGAAGAGCUGCAAAGUCAAAGCCAUUUUUAACUUGAAAAGGUCAUGGGGGUUUCAAUCGCUAUUAAUUUAUUAACCUGUUUUCUUUGGUUUAUCAGUUUGGAAUGGUUUGUUCAGCAUUGCAUGAAACAGACGCACUUCUAGAGGAUAAUGCAUUCAUUUCCCAUGUGUUUUUGUAUAUCUAGUAUUAUCAAAGCCGUUAUUAAUAAUGACAUCCAUCAUUCACUAACUCUGAAAGACAAAAUACUACAACAUUAUCAUGACUGCUUCUUCCUCCACUUGUUUUAUUUUCCUGUUUUUAAAAUAGCUUUUUUCCUUUCAUAUUGUGAUUCUAUUUGUCUGUUCCACUGUUAUGCCUCCAGAUUCCACUAUGUUAUUAACAGCCAUGCAGUGCACCUCUGACUCCCUCCUUGGACCAUGGACAGAACUGUUUAUUCUCAUUGACUUUUCCAACAUUUACAAUAAAGAACUGUGUGAUCUGA
Long non-coding RNA from Oncorhynchus gorbuscha (pink salmon), 1581 nucleotides. RefSeq lists it as uncharacterized. Lineage: Eukaryota; Metazoa; Chordata; Actinopteri; Salmoniformes; Salmonidae. The record is from RefSeq and is a predicted model, not a curated record. The transcript is spliced from 2 exons.